RNAcentral lists this microRNA precursor (84 nucleotides) under Bombyx mori (domestic silkworm). RNAcentral's name for it is "mir-2807 microRNA precursor family". It matches the Rfam family "mir-2807 microRNA precursor family". The record is from Rfam by way of RNAcentral. Lineage: Eukaryota; Metazoa; Arthropoda; Insecta; Lepidoptera; Bombycidae.
UUAACUCAAAUUUGUAUAAUGUUGGAUCGUUUACGUACGUUUCCCGCUAGGGGCGCUGUUCCAACUGCAUACAAAGUUAACUUA